GCUUAACACAUGCAAGUCGAACGAAGCACUUUAUUUGAUUUCCUUCGGGACUGAUUAUUUUGUGACUGAGUGGCGGACGGGUGAGUAACGCGUGGGUAACCUGCCUUGUACAGGGGGAUAACAGUUGGAAACGGCUGCUAAUACCGCAUAAGCGCACAGUAUCGCAUGAUGCAGUGUGAAAAACUCCGGUGGUAUAAGAUGGACCCGCGUUGGAUUAGCUAGUUGGUGAGGUAACGGCCCACCAAGGCGACGAUCCAUAGCCGACCUGAGAGGGUGACCGGCCACAUUGGGACUGAGACACGGCCCAAACUCCUACGGGAGGCAGCAGUGGGGAAUAUUGCACAAUGGGCGAAAGCCUGAUGCAGCGACGCCGCGUGAGCGAAGAAGUAUUUCGGUAUGUAAAGCUCUAUCAGCAGGGAAGAUAAUGACGGUACCUGACUAAGAAGCACCGGCUAAAUACGUGCCAGCAGCCGCGGUAAUACGUAUGGUGCAAGCGUUAUCCGGAUUUACUGGGUGUAAAGGGAGCGCAGGCGGUGCGGCAAGUCUGAUGUGAAAGCCCGGGGCUCAACCCCGG
RNAcentral lists this ribosomal RNA (574 nucleotides) under uncultured Lachnospiraceae bacterium. RNAcentral describes it as "bacterial SSU rRNA". It matches the Rfam family "Bacterial small subunit ribosomal RNA", at positions 46 to 618 of the family's 1533-position model. Lineage: Bacteria; Bacillati; Bacillota; Clostridia; Lachnospirales; Lachnospiraceae. The record is from RNAcentral.